GGGCGAUGCUCCCCGGGUAGGACAAACCGGUCACCUGGGCUGCGAGGGCGGCUUAGGGGCAGAAGCGGCGGUCCAGGGCCGCCUGGCGCAGCAGCCUGUCCCAGCCGCGGUCCCUGCAGUCCCUCCCUGGCGGCUGCGCAGCCGUCCCACGACAGGGGCCAUAAACUCUCCAGAGCGGAAAGCCGCACCCUGGUGGCCCGGCCCCGCGCCCAGACCUGGCGGCCGCUGGCACCUGACCCGCUGCAUGGGUCUCCAGGGAGCUCGCUGCCCACCCGGCGCUGCAGGCUCGGCUCCCUCGUACACUCUCUGGCAAGCCCAAGAAAGUCAGGGGCCUAUGUGAGCCAAAGAGGAGAGAAGGUGAUGCCUCAGCCCAGUGUUUCUGCCCCACCUCGCUUGUGGCCUUCGGAACUUGAUUUGCACCGCAGGAAAAUGGGCAAUGAAAACCCCUCCCUAACUGGCUUCUCAGUCCACUCUGACCAGCCCACUGCACAGCGCCCACCCUGCAGCUCCAGAUGAGGCCUCACUCUGUCACCCAGGUUGGGGUGGAGUGGCACAGUCACAGCUCACUAUAACCUCAAGCUCCUGGGCUCAAGUGAUCCUGCCACCUCAGCCUCCUAAGUAGCUGGAACUACAGAUGUGCACUGCCAUGCCAGGCUUGUCUAACAUUUUUAUGUGUUGCUUCAUCCAGUUUGCUAGAGUUUUUGGAGAUUUCUGUCUUCAUUCAUGAGGGAUAAUAGUCUGCACUUUUAUUUUCUUGUGAUACUUUUGUCUGAUUUGUUAUCUGGGUAAUACUGGCCUUGAAAAUGAAUUGAUGUUUUCCUGCUUC
RNAcentral lists this long non-coding RNA (826 nucleotides) under Homo sapiens (human). RNAcentral describes it as "long independently transcribed non-coding RNA 2564 (LINC02564)". The record is from RNAcentral. Lineage: Eukaryota; Metazoa; Chordata; Mammalia; Primates; Hominidae.